UGGCUUUGCUCGGGCGUUUCCUCCCUAGACUUGGGCCGCUUGUCAUCCACAAGCGGCUCUUCUUUUUUGGGUCU
This 74-nucleotide small RNA is filed under the name Bradyrhizobium sp. cir1. Its description in RNAcentral is "suhB". It matches the Rfam family "Makes More Granules Regulator RNA (mmgR)". Rfam says of the family: SuhB later renamed mmgR (makes more granules regulator) was a putative non-coding RNA found multiple times in the Agrobacterium tumefaciens genome and related alpha-proteobacteria. Other non-coding RNAs uncovered in the same analysis include: speF, ybhL, metA, and serC. Several studies inSinorhizobium meliloti showed that suhB element is indeed a non-coding RNA:firstly it was detected on Northern blot and called Sm8RNA, secondly in an RNAseq study referred to as SmelC689. Lineage: Bacteria; Pseudomonadati; Pseudomonadota; Alphaproteobacteria; Hyphomicrobiales; Nitrobacteraceae. The record is from RNAcentral.